CAGGGUGACAGGUGGUGCAUGGUUGUCGUCAGCUCGUGUCGUGAGAUGUUGGGUUAAGUCCCGCAACGAGCGCAACCCUCGACCUUAGUUGCCAGCAUUCAGUUGGGCACUCUAAGGUGACUGCCGGCUAAAAGUCGGAGGAAGGUGGGGAUGACGUCAAAUCAUCACGCCCCUUAUGACCUGGGCUACACACGUGCUACAAUGGGCGGUACAAAGGGUCGCGAAUCCGCGAGGGGGAGCCAAUCCCAAAAAGCCGCUCUCAGUUCGGAUUGCAGGCUGCAACUCGCCUGCAUGAAGCCGGAAUCGCUAGUAAUCGCGGAUCAGCAUGCCGCGGUGAAUACGUUCCCGGGCCUU
Molecule: ribosomal RNA, 354 nt
Filed under: uncultured Anoxybacillus sp.
Lineage: Bacteria; Bacillati; Bacillota; Bacilli; Caryophanales; Anoxybacillaceae
Description: bacterial SSU rRNA
Rfam family: Bacterial small subunit ribosomal RNA
Source: RNAcentral